RNAcentral lists this ribosomal RNA (489 nucleotides) under uncultured bacterium. RNAcentral describes it as "partial 16S ribosomal RNA". It matches the Rfam family "Bacterial small subunit ribosomal RNA", at positions 29 to 507 of the family's 1533-position model. The record is from RNAcentral.
AUGAACGCUAGCUACAGGCUUAACACAUGCAAGUCGAGGGGCAGCGGGAUUGAAGCUUGCUUCAAUUGCCGGCGACCGGCGCACGGGUGAGUAACGCGUAUCCAACCUUCCGUACACUCAGGGAUAGCCUUUCGAAAGAAAGAUUAAUACCUGAUGGUAUGAUGAGAUUGCAUGAUAUCAUCAUUAAAGAUUUAUCGGUGUACGAUGGGGAUGCGUUCCAUUAGGUAGUAGGCGGGGUAACGGCCCACCUAGCCAACGAUGGAUAGGGGUUCUGAGAGGAAGGUCCCCCACAUUGGAACUGAGACACGGUCCAAACUCCUACGGGAGGCAGCAGUGAGGAAUAUUGGUCAAUGGACGAGAGUCUGAACCAGCCAAGUAGCGUGAAGGAGGAAGGUCCUACGGAUUGUAAACUUCUUUUAUAAGGGAAUAAACCCUCCCACGUGUGGGAGCUUGUAUGUACCUUAUGAAUAAGCAUCGGCUAACUCCGUG